CCGGGGCCCCGCACGGGGGGGUCAGUCGGAGCGGAGCCCCCCCGGCAGCGCCGCAGCGAUGCGCCUGGCGGAGGUGGCUGCGCUGGGUCUGUGGCUGGGCUGCCUGCGCCGGGCGCAGGGCGAGACCUUCACCUCCAUGCUCACCGUCCGGCAGGCGCUGGCCACCGAGACCCGGCUGCUGCGGCACCUGGCAGCCUACCUGGAGGCGGAGACCCGCCGGCUGAAGGACCUGCGGAGGUUUUACAACAAGGUGCAGGAUUUGCACCUAGGAGCCGGGGGCUCUGCGGCGAACCCGUUACUCGCCUACACGCUGAUCAAGAGGCUGCAGUCCGAUUGGCUGAAUGUGGUGCACAGCCUGGAAGCCAGUGAGAACACCCAAGCGCUCAAGGACGGCUACACGCAGGUGGAGAAGGACCUGCCCGAGUUCGAGGACUUGGAGGGAGCAGCACGGGCGCUGAUGAGGCUGCAGGAUGUCUAUGCUCUGAGCGUGAAGGGGCUGGCGAAAGGCGUGUUCCGGAGAGCCAGCGGCACCCACCUCCCCGACAUCUACAGCCCGGGGCAGCUCUUCCCGCUCUCCGCUGAUGACUGCUUCCUCGUCGGCAAGGUGGCGUACGACAUGGCGGAUUACUACCACUCCAUUGCGUGGCUGGAGGAAGCCGUCAGCCUCUUCCGCGUCUCCUACGGGGAGUGGAACACGGAGGACGAGGGCAGCCUAGAGGACGCGCUGGACCAUCUGGCUUUUUCCUAUUUCAAGGCAGGAAAUGUUUCUCAUGCCUUAAGCCUCUCCAGAGAGUUUCUUCACUAUGAUCCCAGCAACAAAAGAAUCGCUAGGAACGUCCUGAAGUAUGAAAAGCUCUUGGUGGAAAGUCCAGAGCGCGCCAAGGCUGAGAUGGGCCUGCAGAGGCCAAAUGUGACUCACCUGCAGACUAGGGACCUCUACGAAGAGCUGUGCCAGACUCUGGGGUCACAGCCAACCCGGUAUCAGAUCGCAGCCCUCCAUUGCUCGUACGAGACCAACGACAGCCCCUACCUGAUCCUCCAGCCGGUGAAAAGAGAGCUGCUCCGGCUGCAGCCGUACGUAGCCCUGUACCAUGACUUCGUCAGUGACCUGGAGGCGGAGAAGAUCAAGGGACUUGCAGCUCCCUGGCUACAGAGAUCAGUGGUUGCCUCGGAAGAGACGCAGCAGAAAGCCGAGUACCGGAUAAGUAAGAGCGCCUGGCUGAAGGACACCGUCGACCCAGUGAUCGUGUCACUAGAUCAGAGGAUCGCAGCCCUGACUGGCUUGAACAUUCGGCCACCGUAUGCAGAGUACCUACAGGUGGUGAAUUAUGGGAUAGGUGGACACUACGAGCCUCAUUUUGACCAUGCCACUUCGAGAAAGAGCCCCCUUUACAGAAUGAAGUCGGGUAACAGACUGGCCACAGUCAUGAUCUAUCUGAGCUCAGUAGAUGCCGGAGGAUCCACUGCCUUUAUCUAUGCAAACCUCAGCGUGCCUGUGGUCAAGAAUGCAGCUCUGUUUUGGUGGAACCUUCACAGGAACGGAGCCGGGAACGGGGACACCCUCCACGCCGGCUGCCCAGUGCUCGCGGGAGACAAAUGGGCCAAAACCUCCAGGAAGACAAUGUGCCUCUAGCACCAGAGCACCACCUACUGGAUUGCCACAUCUCUGCUCUAGCUACAUAGGGAGGUCUCCCAUACAUGUAUUAAGCCAACCUGGCCCUGCUUAGCUUUUGAGAGCUGGGAGGCUCACAACACACAGAGCUCACAUUGAAAUAAACCCAGCAAAGUGGCAAACAAAUGGAUCCACGAACACGGGCAGGAGUUCCGAAGGCGGUGCGGCCCCGACCCGGACGACUAAGGGCCGGAGCAGAGCGUGAGCACCCCACCCGAUCCAAAGGCCUGGGAGGAGGUGGGGGAUGGAAACCCACCGCCAUCGGAGCCAGAAGCAGGGACCACCUGGAAAAGCCAGCUGGAAUAUGGCCUGCUGCCAAGGCACGUCUCAGCCAGGCUUCCUCUGCUGCGUAUUGAGUCUAAGGAUCUAGGAGGGGGGAAUGGAACAAAAGUCACUGUGGGAGGGGAGCAGGGAACUUGUAAGGAGAGAAAGAGGCUGCUGGGUGCGCCGGAGCUGGCUCAGCUGGGGAACAAGAACAGCAUAAAGGGCGUGAUGCCGUUCCUAGGACGUUUCCAUGGCCAAGGGGGAGGAACUAGGCUGAGGGCCAGAGUCUGAUUUCAGUUACACUGACUGUGUUGAGUCUGGAGUUAUUCACUGACUUCAACACUAGGUUGGCACCAGUGUCAUUUAGAGCAGAGUUUGGUCUAUCAGGGGGAAAUAGAGCAAAGGGAGACUGAAUAGCUGGGGCAGUCCCCUAAUGGGGUGACUCUGACCUGAACAAUAUGCUGGAGGAAUCAGUGUUGCAUUGGGUGAGGGUAAGGCAGCGGUACUCAAUUAGAUCUACCUGGAUCCAGGCUGACUGGAGAACGUUAUGACCCGAGGCAGGCCGUUUGCGCAGAAGACUGACAUUUUUAAAAAAAAAAAUAAUUUCGGCUGCCAAUAAAUAAAGACCUUGACUGCAACACAAGUAUUAGUGUUUCUAUCUUCUAACCAAGUCUACAACUCACCAUUAUUCCCUGUGUUUGUGGCAAUCUCUAAUGGGAGAGGAGACAUGGAUGACUCUGGCAGGCUUUGUGAGGAGGGGUU
RNA transcript from Mauremys reevesii (Reeves's turtle), 2698 nucleotides. It is a transcript of the gene named prolyl 4-hydroxylase subunit alpha 3, with no coding region annotated. Lineage: Eukaryota; Metazoa; Chordata; Testudines; Geoemydidae. The record is from RefSeq and is a predicted model, not a curated record. The transcript has 14 exons.